RNAcentral lists this ribosomal RNA (465 nucleotides) under Vreelandella stevensii. RNAcentral describes it as "partial 16S ribosomal RNA". It matches the Rfam family "Bacterial small subunit ribosomal RNA", at positions 338 to 795 of the family's 1533-position model. Lineage: Bacteria; Pseudomonadati; Pseudomonadota; Gammaproteobacteria; Oceanospirillales; Halomonadaceae. The record is from RNAcentral.
CCUACGGGAGGCUGCAGUGGGGAAUAUUGGACAAUGGGGGGAACCCUGAUCCAGCCAUGCCGCGUGUGUGAAGAAGGCCCUCGGGUUGUAAAGCACUUUCAGUGAGGAAGAACGCCUGGUGGUUAAUACCCAUCAGGAAAGACAUUACUCACAGAAGAAGCACCGGCUAACUCCGUGCCAGCAGCCGCGGUAAUACGGAGGGUGCGAGCGUUAAUCGGAAUUACUGGGCGUAAAGCGCGCGUAGGUGGCUUGAUAAGCCGGUUGUGAAAGCCCCGGGCUCAACCUGGGAACGGCAUCCGGAACUGUCAAGCUAGAGUGCAGGAGAGGAAGGUAGAAUUCCCGGUGUAGCGGUGAAAUGCGUAGAGAUCGGGAGGAAUACCAGUGGCGAAGGCGGCCUUCUGGACUGACACUGACACUGAGGUGCGAAAGCGUGGGUAGCAAACAGGAUUAGAUACCCUGGUAGUC